UUCCCCAGUAAGGUUGUCUUGUUACUCCUCAGCGAGUAUUAUCCCCAAAGAGUUGCCUGAUUUAUCUUCCCCCAGCGGAGUGUUGAUUGCUUCCCAAGCGGAGUCACCGAGUGGAUUGGGUCCUGUGUAGGAUAUUCCCAGCAACGGUCGUGUUUCUCCAGCAUGAGUGAGAAGUCGUUGCUUUCUCCGCAAAGCAUUCCCGGAUGAGGCUCUCCCCGCAGAGUAUUCUUCAAGCAGAGUCUCCACGCAGAGUUGGAGUUUUUGAUCAGUUUGGC
Molecule: long non-coding RNA, 275 nt
Filed under: Lathyrus oleraceus (garden pea)
Lineage: Eukaryota; Viridiplantae; Streptophyta; Magnoliopsida; Fabales; Fabaceae
Description: Pisum sativum (pea) long non-coding RNA (PSAT_LNC039555)
Source: RNAcentral